UACGGAGGGGGCUAGCGUUGUUCGUAAUUACUGGGCGUAAAGCGCACGUAGGCGGCUUUGUAAGUUAGAGGUGAAAGCCCGGGGCUCAACUCCGGAAUUGCCUUUAAGACUGCAUCGCUAGAAUUGUGGAGAGGUAAGUGGAAUUCCGAGUGUAGAGGUGAAAUUCGUAGAUAUUCGGAAGAACACCAGUGGCGAAGGCGACUUACUGGACACAUAUUGACGCUGAGGUGCGAAAGCGUGGGGAGCAAACAGG
RNAcentral lists this ribosomal RNA (253 nucleotides) under uncultured bacterium. RNAcentral describes it as "partial 16S ribosomal RNA". It matches the Rfam family "Bacterial small subunit ribosomal RNA", at positions 524 to 776 of the family's 1533-position model. The record is from RNAcentral.